This 301-nucleotide ribosomal RNA is filed under the name uncultured bacterium. RNAcentral describes it as "partial 16S ribosomal RNA". It matches the Rfam family "Bacterial small subunit ribosomal RNA", at positions 509 to 808 of the family's 1533-position model. The record is from RNAcentral.
CAGCAGCCGCGGUAAUACAGAGGGUGCGAGCGUUAAUCGGAUUUACUGGGCGUAAAGCGUGCGUAGGCGGCUUUUUAAGUCGGAUGUGAAAUCCCUGAGCUUAACUUAGGAAUUGCAUUCGAUACUGGGAAGCUAGAGUAUGGGAGAGGAUGGUAGAAUUCCAGGUGUAGCGGUGAAAUGCGUAGAGAUCUGGAGGAAUACCGAUGGCGAAGGCAGCCAUCUGGCCUAAUACUGACGCUGAGGUACGAAAGCAUGGGGAGCAAACAGGAUUAGAUACCCCAGUGUCCCUGUCUCUUAUACC